Molecule: ribosomal RNA, 253 nt
Filed under: uncultured bacterium
Lineage: Bacteria
Description: partial 16S ribosomal RNA
Rfam family: Bacterial small subunit ribosomal RNA
Source: RNAcentral
UACGUAGGGGGCAAGCGUUGUUCGGAAUUACUGGGCGUAAAGGGCGCGUAGGCGGCUCGGCAAGUCGGGAGUGAAAGCCCGGGGCUCAACCCCGGAACGUCUUUCGAAACUGCCGAGCUAGAGUGCGGAAGGGGCAACUGGAAUUCCCAGUGUAGCGGUGAAAUGCGUAGAUAUUGGGAAGAACACCUGAGGCGAAGGCGGGUUGCUGGGCCGACACUGACGCUGAGGCACGAAAGCCAGGGGAGCGAACGGG